RNAcentral lists this small RNA (83 nucleotides) under Cochleicola gelatinilyticus. RNAcentral's name for it is "Ulvibacter sp. LPB0005 Flavo-1 RNA". It matches the Rfam family "Flavo-1 RNA". The record is from Rfam by way of RNAcentral. Lineage: Bacteria; Pseudomonadati; Bacteroidota; Flavobacteriia; Flavobacteriales; Flavobacteriaceae.
UUCGGGUAGGGAUUGAUGCGGCAUCCUUUUCGUAGCGUUUUUUAGAACGCUACGAAAAGAUAUAGCGGAAAGCCCGGUCUUAU